GCACAUCGUCGAAUCCGGACCCAAUCAUAUCAUUGAUCCAUUCCAUGUAAUCUUUCAUAAUCAAAGUAGUUGUUUGCUUUAGUUCAGUGGAGUUGGUUAUGGAGUUGCUGGACAUCGGUACUAUUGGCGGAAGAUGAUGAAUCUCAGUCAAUGAACCAAAAUUACGGUGAAGAAAUUGAAGAAUUUUGUAUAAUUUAUGUUGUAU
RNAcentral lists this long non-coding RNA (205 nucleotides) under Solanum tuberosum (potato). RNAcentral's name for it is "long non-coding RNA (STUB_LNC009076)". Lineage: Eukaryota; Viridiplantae; Streptophyta; Magnoliopsida; Solanales; Solanaceae. The record is from RNAcentral.